UACGGAGGGUGCGAGCGUUAUCCGGAGUUACUGGGCGUAAAGGGCGCGUAGGCGGUUUAUCGAGUCUGAUGUCAAAGCGUGGGGCUCAACCCCAUAAGGGCGUUGGAUACUGAUAAGCUUGACUCCUGGAGGGGCAAGUGGAAUUACCAGUGUAGCGGUGGAAUGCGUAGAUACUGGUAGGAACACCCAUAGCGAAGGCAGCUUGCUGGACAGGGAGUGACGCUGAGGCGCGAAAGUGUGGGGAGCGAACCGG
This 253-nucleotide unclassified non-coding RNA is filed under the name uncultured Trueperaceae bacterium. Its description in RNAcentral is "contains 16S-23S intergenic spacer region". It matches the Rfam family "Bacterial small subunit ribosomal RNA", at positions 524 to 776 of the family's 1533-position model. Lineage: Bacteria; Thermotogati; Deinococcota; Deinococci; Trueperales; Trueperaceae. The record is from RNAcentral.